UACGAAGGGUGCGAGCGUUAAUCGGAAUUACUGGGCGUAAAGCGCGCGUAGGUGGUUUUGUAAGCGAAAUGUGAAAUCCCCGGGCUCAACCUGGGAACUGCAUGUCGAACUGCAAGGCUAGAGUAUAGUAGAGGAGUGUGGAAUUUCCUGUGUAGCGGUGAAAUGCGUAGAUAUAGGAAGGAACAUCAGUGGCGAAGGCGGCACUCUGGACUGAUACUGACACUGAGGCGCGAAAGCGUGGGUAGCGAACAGG
This 253-nucleotide ribosomal RNA is filed under the name uncultured bacterium. RNAcentral describes it as "partial 16S ribosomal RNA". It matches the Rfam family "Bacterial small subunit ribosomal RNA", at positions 524 to 776 of the family's 1533-position model. The record is from RNAcentral.